GGUCGAGCCAAGAUGAGAAUCCGACUCAGUGAUCCGGUGGCACUGCGUGGACGGGCCAUCGCUCCACGGAUAAAAGCUACCCUGGGGAUAACAGGCUUAUCUCCACCAAGAGUCCACAUCGACGGGGAGGUUUGGCACCUCGAUGUCGGCUCAUCACAUCCUGGGUCGAGAGUAGGGCCCAAGGGUUGGGCUGUUCGCCGAUUAAAGUGGUAGGCGAGCUGGGUGCAGAACGGCGUGGGACAGUUCGGUCCCUAUCCGUCGCAGGCGUAGGAAAUUUUAGAAGACCUGACGUUAGUACGAGGUGACCGGGAUGGACGUACCUCUGGUGUACCAGUUGUUCUGCCAAGGGCAUGGCUGGGUAGAUAUGUACGGAAUGGAUAAGCGCUGAAAGCAUCUAAGCGCGAAGCCAACUUCAAGAUAAGAUUUCCCACCGCAAGGGUAAGACCCCAGAAAGACUAUCUGGUUGAUAGGUCGAAGGUGUAAGUGCAGCAAUGUAUUUAGCUUAUCGAUACUAAUAGGUCGAGGACUUGACCAAAUU
This 538-nucleotide ribosomal RNA is filed under the name Clostridioides difficile. RNAcentral describes it as "partial 23S ribosomal RNA". It matches the Rfam family "Bacterial large subunit ribosomal RNA", at positions 2387 to 2925 of the family's 2925-position model. Lineage: Bacteria; Bacillati; Bacillota; Clostridia; Peptostreptococcales; Peptostreptococcaceae. The record is from RNAcentral.